This 212-nucleotide ribosomal RNA is filed under the name Acinetobacter baumannii Naval-18. RNAcentral's name for it is "partial 16S ribosomal RNA". It matches the Rfam family "Bacterial small subunit ribosomal RNA", at positions 1271 to 1482 of the family's 1533-position model. The record is from RNAcentral. Lineage: Bacteria; Pseudomonadati; Pseudomonadota; Gammaproteobacteria; Moraxellales; Moraxellaceae.
AUCUCAAAAAGCCGAUCGUAGUCCGGAUUGGAGUCUGCAACUCGACUCCAUGAAGUCGGAAUCGCUAGUAAUCGCGGAUCAGAAUGCCGCGGUGAGUACGUUCCCGGGCCUUGUACACACCGCCCGUCACACCAUGGGAGUUUGUUGCACCAGAAGUAGCUAGCCUAACUGCAAAGAGGGCGGUUACCACGGUGUGGCCGAUGACUGGGGUG